This 453-nucleotide long non-coding RNA is filed under the name Panax ginseng (ginseng). RNAcentral describes it as "long non-coding RNA (PGIN_LNC002875)". Lineage: Eukaryota; Viridiplantae; Streptophyta; Magnoliopsida; Apiales; Araliaceae. The record is from RNAcentral.
UUUUUAUCAUGUACGAAUUAUAGAAAAGUAAGUGUGUUAGUGUUCCAUUUUUGUCUAUUAUCUCUUUCAUUCUAUUUACUUGCACAUAAAAUUGAAAACUUUUUUGUUUACAGAGGAAUGCUUGUCAAUUUUUUGGUUGGUACGAUCCUCCAAUGUGUGACAGAUCAAGGCAAAUAAUACCUGGAUUACUUUGAAAGAUUAAUGGAAUGGAGAAAGAGAUGGAGAACAUGCGUGCAAUAGGCAACAAAGGAAGAACAAAAUUAAUUAUUGCACUUGUUCUUGGUUAUUAAUUUUAAUCAUGUUAUUGUAGAUGGAGUAAAUAUUGUCAUUUGGGUUGAUUAAACUUUGGUGUUAGUUUGUUGUAACAUUGUCCAAGAAGGACAUGUAAUCAUGGUAUGCUUUAUGACAUUUGAAAAACGGAUUGAUGUCUCUAUUGAUGGUAUGUUCUUUGUG